RNAcentral lists this ribosomal RNA (373 nucleotides) under uncultured organism. Its description in RNAcentral is "bacterial SSU rRNA". It matches the Rfam family "Bacterial small subunit ribosomal RNA", at positions 526 to 896 of the family's 1533-position model. The record is from RNAcentral.
CGUAGGGUCCGAGCGUUGUCCGGAAUUAUUGGGCGUAAAGGGCUUGUAGGCGGUUCGUCGCGUCGGAAGUGAAAACUCAGGGCUUAACCCUGAGCCUGCUUCCGAUACGGGCGAACUAGAGGGAUGCAGGGGAGAACGGAAUUCCUGGUGGAGCGGUGGAAUGCGCAGAUAUCAGGAGGAACACCGGUGGCGAAGGCGGUUCUCUGGGCAUUUCCUGACGCUGAGAAGCGAAAGCGUGGGGAGCAAACAGGCUUAGAUACCCUGGUAGUCCACGCCGUAAACGGUGGGCACUAGGUGUGGGGGACAUUCCACGUUCUCCGUGCCGCAGCUAACGCAUUAAGUGCCCCGCCUGGGGAGUACGGCCGCAAGGCUA